GGAGGGAUACCCAAGGGGCUAAAGGGGGCAGACUGUAAAUCUGUUGGCACAGCCUUCGAUGGUUCGAAUCCAUCUCCCUCCACCA
This 85-nucleotide transfer RNA is filed under the name Thermoanaerobacteraceae bacterium. RNAcentral's name for it is "tRNA-Tyr". It matches the Rfam family "tRNA". From Rfam's summary of the family: Transfer RNA (tRNA) molecules are approximately 80 nucleotides in length. Lineage: Bacteria; Bacillati; Bacillota; Clostridia; Thermoanaerobacterales; Thermoanaerobacteraceae. RNAcentral also lists the same sequence under 2 other names. The record is from RNAcentral.